RNAcentral lists this transfer RNA (68 nucleotides) under Pachydactylus rugosus. RNAcentral describes it as "tRNA-Trp". Lineage: Eukaryota; Metazoa; Chordata; Lepidosauria; Squamata; Gekkonidae. The record is from RNAcentral.
AGUUUAAGUUAAUAUCAAACUCAGGACCUUCAAAGCCCUAUAUAGGAGACCAAAACCCCUAACUUCUG